Molecule: ribosomal RNA, 372 nt
Filed under: Triticum aestivum (bread wheat)
Lineage: Eukaryota; Viridiplantae; Streptophyta; Magnoliopsida; Poales; Poaceae
Description: partial small subunit ribosomal RNA
Source: RNAcentral
AUGGAAAUCUACGGUGACCUCGAGGCCGGCUGCCUCAGCCAUUCCGUCUCUCCCAUCAAGCCGGCGUCCCCGCCGAGGAAGGCCGGGCCCGGCCGCCUCUUCUGCGACCCCUGCGACGACUCCGACCAGCUCCUCGGCCACCACCACUACCUGGACAUCUGCUUCAGCUGCCGGAAGCUCCUCGCCGGGAACAAAGACAUCUUCAUGUACAGAGGUGACACGCCCUUCUGUAGCGAGGAGUGCAGGCAGGAGCAGAUCGAGAUCGACGAGGCGAGGGAGAAGCGGUCGAGUCAGACGGGGAGGGCGGAGGAGCAGCGGCAGAGACAGCAGCAGAAGCAGAGCACCCCGAGGAUCCCGGUCUGGGCGUGGUAG